Mugil cephalus (flathead mullet) is the source of this 349-nucleotide long non-coding RNA. RefSeq lists it as uncharacterized. The record is from RefSeq and is a predicted model, not a curated record. The transcript is spliced from 2 exons. NCBI's taxonomy places the organism in Eukaryota, Metazoa, Chordata, Actinopteri, Mugiliformes, Mugilidae.
CCGCGACCCGGCAGCUCUGGCUGGACGCCGGUCGGGAGCGCUGGGGGCAGGCGGUCUCCUGAGGACUCCGUCGGUCUCCGACCUGGCAGAACACCUCCCGGCUCUGGACGCCGUCUCCGCAUGAUGCUGAACACUGAAAGAAAUGAGGAGAGAAUGACACUGGAGCCUGGAAAGUGGUCGGUUUCAUCCGUCUGUGUCUAAUCUAUAGCAGUGACGCUUCAAAUGUGUUUCAUAUGCUGUAAUGCAAAGCACAUUUCUGAAGAGAACAAAAAUGAAUGAGAGCGGGGUGAAGAACGAAUAAAGGUUUUAUUUUGUGCCAGCUCUGUUUUGACCUGAGGCCGAACUGUGA